CUACAAUCUUUCUUUUUCACAAGAUGGGGUAGCAUCUGUGUAUACACCACCACCCUACUAAGUCAGAGAUAAUUAAUUAGCUAACGUUUAUGGAUUACAAAGCGACCAGAUCAGAGAUCUUCUUCAUCAAAUGUAUGAUACCUAUUUCCAAGCACGAUGAAGAGAAAUUGAGAAUCAACUGUUGGAAUGGAGAACAUCAAUUUAGUGAAUAAAGCAUGUAACGGCAAGGGUCAUAUUGUUUGAAAAUAUUAAUAGUGUAAGAUGAAGAAGUUGCGGAGCGAGAACAAAUCGUGUACUAUAUGCGAACUUGCGUGAUCAAUCAAUGAACAGGGAAAUUGCGUGAAUGAUGAGACCGAAUCGUUAAAUUCACCACCAAGAGAAUUUAGUAUCCCAUGAACUAAUCCAUUUUAAAAAAAAUAUAGUUAUACUUGAAGAAUCCUCAAUGCCCUGUAUUCUAUAUAUAAUAAGCCACAAUGCAACUAUCAUUGUAGCUAUCUUGUUAGCUUUCAACCAAAAGCUAACAAGAUUUUUAGUUACAUAUUUAUUAUGUCAUUGUAUGAGCUA
Molecule: long non-coding RNA, 564 nt
Organism: Solanum tuberosum (potato)
Lineage: Eukaryota; Viridiplantae; Streptophyta; Magnoliopsida; Solanales; Solanaceae
Exons: 2
Source: RefSeq, a predicted model, not a curated record